UACAGAGGUCUCAAGCGUUGUUCGGAUUCAUUGGGCGUAAAGGGCGUGUAGGCGGGCAGGAAAGUCAGAUGUGAAAUCCCUGGGCUCAACCCAGGAACUGCAUUUGAAACUCCCUUUCUUGAGUGUCGGAGAGGAAAGUGGAAUUCCUGGUGUAGAGGUGAAAUUCGUAGAUAUCAGGAGGAACACCGGUGGCGAAGGCGGCUUUCUGGACGACAACUGACGCUGAGACGCGAAAGCGUGGGGAGCAAACAGG
Molecule: ribosomal RNA, 253 nt
Filed under: uncultured bacterium
Lineage: Bacteria
Description: partial 16S ribosomal RNA
Rfam family: Bacterial small subunit ribosomal RNA
Source: RNAcentral